Ahaetulla prasina is the source of this 1246-nucleotide long non-coding RNA. RefSeq lists it as uncharacterized. Lineage: Eukaryota; Metazoa; Chordata; Lepidosauria; Squamata; Colubridae. The transcript is spliced from 4 exons. The record is from RefSeq and is a predicted model, not a curated record.
CGGUGAAUUAACGCUGCGGGUGCAAUUUGGAUGUUCGGGGCUGAGCACAAAAAAGUGAAAGGAAGUUUUUGCCGCGCCUUGUCUGACUGUGUUCAAUACAGCGCACGGUGGUAUGAGGCGCGUCUGAUACUCCGUCCAGGCGAGGAGCUAAGGUGGGGGCUGCUAGUAGCCGCGGAAAAGAGUUCGGAUCCCGGGUCCAGUCCCGGGAGAAGAAGUCAGAGGGAGCCGAACAGGCGUUGGGGCGCAGGGCCUUUUGCCAGGCUGCCGAAUGAGAAACGAGGACUCCCGCUUGCCAGCCGCCCUCUCGCCGGGCUGAGCGUUCGCAACGUCCUUGACCGAGCGGAGCUCCUAUCCUUGCCUCCUUUUGGACGGAACGGUCAGUAAGCCAGACUCGUCUGGACGUGGGAAGCCCCGCGGGCGAAGAGGAGCGGAAAGGCCGGUCUCCAAAGGCUCGGAAGGAGCCGGGAAGAUUUUGCAAAGGCGCCCGGAAAGAUCGCAGCGCUGUGAGAACAAGCUCACUUCGCUCCCACCGGGACCAAGCUCCUAGUCACAGAUCCAAAGUGUGACAAUCAGCCACCACCAAAAGUCGUUCUCCUGAGCCCUUUAUGCCACAAAAAGCGUAUCACCCUUGUGUGCCUGGCCCAGGGCUUCCACUAUGAGUGGCUACUGGAUGUGACCUGGAAGCGUGAUGGCCAAAAUAUUGACCGACUCUCCUCUGCUACUGAGCCAGUCCAGAAACAAGGGGAGUGCAACUUUGCCACUGCCAGUCGCCUGAGUGUGUUGGCAGAGGAGUGGCAGAAAGGCCACAACUAUUCCUGCCAUGUCGACCAAACGGGGCAGGUGGUGAGUGACUCGGUGAAGAGCAGUCCAGACCACAAGACAGAAUCAACUUCAGGUAUCUCUGAGAUUCAACUCAGCCUUAAUGCGGGACAGUUUAUAUUCCUCCUACUAGGGGCCAAAAGCUUGGCCUACAGUGCUAUUCUGGGCAUCUACAAGAUCUAUAGAAAAAAACGUCUCUAAUUGCGUUACCUGUUACAACAGUAUUCACUCCCUUACCAGCCAAGGCAGAGAUUUACGUAUAGCUGCAGGCCUUUCCCAGUGAAGAUCCAUUCCAUUCUGAAGCUUCCACAUCCUUCGUCUUAGCCUCUUCCUUCCAGAGGGACUCAUUGGUCACUUUAUAUUAAAUUGUCCUAUGCCUUGAGAAAAUGUCAAUACAUAUUUUCUGCCUCAUAAUAAAGAUGUUGUG